Molecule: long non-coding RNA, 272 nt
Filed under: Junco hyemalis (dark-eyed junco)
Lineage: Eukaryota; Metazoa; Chordata; Aves; Passeriformes; Passerellidae
Description: lncRNA (ENSJHYG00000002258.1)
Source: RNAcentral
UUUAUACAUCAGGAGCUAAAUCACUGAGAAAUUUGUGUUUUGUCAGGAGAAGUCAGUGGCAGAGAGAUAAAUGGCUGUGGAGUGCCUGAACCACAAAGCUGCCAUAGAUCAGUGGAAAUGAUGGACCAUGGAGCUACCCACUGCAUGCCUCAUACCUGGGUAAGUGGUAUACCAGGAGUUACACCGCUGGGAACCUGUACAAGCAGAGAGGUAAGUCUGUUUUUAGGAAAAUUCUCAAUGGAUCCCUGAAACCUGCACCUUCAGUCAUUUGU